UGUGGAGCCUCCUUAAGUUUCCCUCAUAUGUUGUUGUUUUUUUGUUUUUUUUUGUUUUUUGGUUUUUUUUGUUUUUGUUUUUUUUUUUUUGCCUGAAACUCACUGUGGAGGUUAUGAUGGUCUGGAACUUGCUAAGGAAGCCCACGUUGACUUUGAUGUUGCUAUGUAGCCCAGCCUUGCCUUGACAACUUUAUGUAGCCCAGGCCAGCUAUGGACUCGCUAUGCAGUCCAGACUGGUCAUGAUCCUCCCUCCUCAGCCUCCUACAUUCUGGGAUUUCAGAAGUGAGCCAUCAUGCCUGGCUUGCCUUGGAGUUUUGAAGACCUUUAAGACCAGGACAACUUAAAGCUGAUGUGGUGGUCCAGAGAUGAGAUGCUACACAGUGUGUCAGCAAUGAGAAGGCAGAUGACUCGUCUAGCCUGGACCAUACUCCAGGGCUCGUUCUAUGGGGAAGACACCCUUCUGAAAAGCACACGCGUUAACUGCCUGACUCACGUGGUGACACGUGGCAAGCCCAAAUGCGUUAUGGAUCUCCCAGGAAUAAAAACAACACGGCGAAACCAUCACCUAG
Molecule: long non-coding RNA, 569 nt
Filed under: Mus spicilegus (steppe mouse)
Lineage: Eukaryota; Metazoa; Chordata; Mammalia; Rodentia; Muridae
Description: lncRNA (ENSMSIG00000018442.1)
Source: RNAcentral